AUAUUGGUCAAUAGCCUAACGGCUGAACCAGCAACUUGGAGGAAUGUAUAGCAAUAGCUACUUGCAUCAUUGUAAUGAUGAUGCAAGAUCGACUAUGUCGAAUAAAAUUCUAGGUAGAAUUAUGAUAAUGACAUUGUCUGCCUAUGUGUCUUGACCAAAUUACGUGCCAGCAGUCGCGGUAAUACGUAGAAGACUAGUGUUAUUCAUGUUUAAUCGGUUUAAAGGGUACCUAGACAGCAAAUCAAGCUUUCAAAAAAAAGAAAAGGACUAAUUUGCUAGAGUUACUUAUGAGGGGGCUUGAAAGUACUAAUGGUGUAGAGAUGAAAUUCUGUCAUACCUUUUUUCAAAGGAAAACUGGACGGCACAGGUAUAGGCGAAGGCAUCCCCUUAUGUGAUAACUGACGUUGAGGGACGAAGGCUUAUACAGCGAACAGGAUUAGAUACCCCAGUAGUCUAAGCAGAAAAUGAUGAAUGUCAUAGAUUAGAUAUAUAAGUUUAUUCUAUAAAUGAAAGUGUAAGCAUUCCACCUCAUGAGUAAUUUGGCAACAUUGGAACUGAAAUCAUUAGACCGUUUCUGAAACCAG
Molecule: ribosomal RNA, 584 nt
Filed under: Parmelina quercina
Lineage: Eukaryota; Fungi; Ascomycota; Lecanoromycetes; Lecanorales; Parmeliaceae
Description: SSU rRNA
Rfam family: Bacterial small subunit ribosomal RNA
Source: RNAcentral